UCUCCUAGGUCUUCGGCGUCCCUCAACCUCCCUCCCGUUUUCUCUCUCCUUCCUCUUCAUCUUCUUCGAUCUUCUUCCUCUAAUCCUCUUCCACCAAACCCUCCGCCUUUCGCCUUUCGCCUUCGCCACCGCCACCGCCACCGCCAUCACCAUCACCAUCACCAUCAACGUCUAAUCUUCUGGAGAUCCGGGUGAGAUAACUCGCCGCUUUUCAGUUCUAUUCUCUUAAAGAUUUGGUAAAUUCGGAUUAAAACUUAUGUUCUUAUUCGUUUGAUCUUUGUGUUAUUGAGGUUUUUUAAUCAUCAAUUGGUUGAGAUGGAGAUGGAGAAGGAGGCGGCAUCGGUCGGCCCUUUUCACGUUGAAUCUCUUCAAAAAUCAAAACCCUCAUCAUCAUCUAACCAAAGGAGGCGGCAUCGGUCGAUUAAUUAGGGUUUCAAAACCCUCACGUUGAUUUUUUUUGGGUGAAGUUUUUACUGAGGCGAUGGCUUCUUCAUCAGACUUGAAUUCCCAAUUGUGUCGGAGUUAGAGGGUCAGAUCCAAUACGCUGAGAAUUACUUUGAUGAUACUUACGAAUACAGUAAUUGGAAGCAGAGGUUUCAGGGGUUUAUUUCAGUAAUUUCAGUCAACUCCAUCAAUUCCAUGGAAGUAGCCAACAACUCCAUCAAUUCCUCUCCACCAAACCAAAGGAUCAACGGGUGCAGCAUUAAGUCUUCUUGAUGCUGGUAAUUGAAACCCUAAUUGUUGGCCUUCUAUUUUCACGCUUGGUAAUAACAUAGAUCAGUGACAUUCUCGAGAGGAAGCAAUCUCAUAAUGCACAACACACACAAGGUCUUCUUGCUCUUAAGUUAGUGUAAUAUUUUGACUGAGUAAAGUCUGAUUGUCUGAUUUUCUUGGUAUAGAACCAAAUAACACAUUUUUGUCAGCAAUUUUGUGAAUGUUGAUUCCAUUUUUGGUCCAGUGUGUAUUUUAUCUUCAAUUCAAUUUCGUAUUAACUUAUUUGCAAGUUUCUUGAAGUUUGAUGUCGCAUAUAUUUCUUCGUUGUCAUUUCUGUAUAUUUGUAGUUGAUUGUGAUCUUCCAGCCAAACCUAUGAUUAAGGCUGUGUU
Long non-coding RNA from Spinacia oleracea (spinach), 1104 nucleotides. RefSeq lists it as uncharacterized. The transcript is spliced from 5 exons. The record is from RefSeq and is a predicted model, not a curated record. Lineage: Eukaryota; Viridiplantae; Streptophyta; Magnoliopsida; Caryophyllales; Amaranthaceae.